GUGGAAGCAAGCGAAUAAAUAGUGCAGCGCUCUUCUCACUGGUUCUGCUGUGCAAAUCGACUUCACAGCCCUUCCUCGCCUCCUCGCCCCUGCUUCGGCGUGCUUUGUGUCGGGGAAGCAAAUUGGUCACAUCUGCAUCCGGCCAGGGAGGAACAAAUGUGCUGGCUAGGCAGCAACGAGCUUUCUGAGGGGGAUGCCUCAAAGUGAAAUGAAAGGUCGGCCAUCAAAGCUGCCACCGCGUCUAAUCGCCACUGUCAGCAGCAGGAGCAGAAUGCCUGCGAAUGGGAAAGCGCGCGGGCGCUGGGUAAAGGAGGAACACGCUCGCAGAGAAAAUAAGCACUGAAAACAUACGCAUCAAAUACAUCACAGGGUCGCGGGUUGCUCGCCCCUUCCUCCACAGGAGGCAGAUUCUCUUUUUCUCCUGGAGCCUCAGAAAAACCUCUCUGUUCAUCCGUGCCGGUCUUCUUCCCUGCCAGCUCAUCUUCUGACAGCCUGCUCCUGUGCCUCUAAGAGUUCCUUCUUGAGGAGCGACCAGCCCUCCUGGACCCCUCUACCCUUCAGGACUGAAUCCCAAGGGACUCCCUACAAGUGUCCUGAAUAGUUCAAAGUCUGUCCUCUGGAAGUCCAAGGUAGCAGGUUUGCUGCACCCCCUGCUAACAUCACCAGUGAUUGAGAACUCUACCCUUACGUGGUCACUCUGUUCAAGACAGCUCCCAGCCUACACAUCUCCCACCAGUUCUUCUCUGUUUGUGAACAGCGGGUCUAGCAGGGCUCCUCCCCUGGUAGACUCUCUUACCAGCUGUGUCAGGAAGUUAUCUUCCAUACACUCUAGAAACCUCCUAGACUGCUUUGUCUGCACUGUAUUGUACUUCCAGCAUAUAUCAGGGAAAUUGAAGUCCCCCAUGAGAACAAGGGCUGGUGAUUGUGCAACUUCUGCCAGGUGCUCAUGGAUGUCUCAUCUGUCUCUUCGUCCUGGUUA
RNAcentral lists this long non-coding RNA (979 nucleotides) under Gallus gallus (chicken). RNAcentral's name for it is "lncRNA (ENSGALG00010003465.1)". Lineage: Eukaryota; Metazoa; Chordata; Aves; Galliformes; Phasianidae. The record is from RNAcentral.